This 447-nucleotide ribosomal RNA is filed under the name Escherichia coli. Its description in RNAcentral is "bacterial SSU rRNA". It matches the Rfam family "Bacterial small subunit ribosomal RNA", at positions 1 to 444 of the family's 1533-position model. Lineage: Bacteria; Pseudomonadati; Pseudomonadota; Gammaproteobacteria; Enterobacterales; Enterobacteriaceae. The record is from RNAcentral. RNAcentral also lists the same sequence under 1 other name.
AAAUUGAAGAGUUUGAUCAUGGCUCAGAUUGAACGCUGGCGGCAGGCCUAACACAUGCAAGUCGAACGGUAACAGGAAGCAGCUUGCUGCUUCGCUGACGAGUGGCGGACGGGUGAGUAAUGUCUGGGAAACUGCCUGAUGGAGGGGGAUAACUACUGGAAACGGUAGCUAAUACCGCAUAAUGUCGCAAGACCAAAGAGGGGGACCUUCGGGCCUCUUGCCAUCGGAUGUGCCCAGAUGGGAUUAGCUUGUUGGUGGGGUAACGGCUCACCAAGGCGACGAUCCCUAGCUGGUCUGAGAGGAUGACCAGCCACACUGGAACUGAGACACGGUCCAGACUCCUACGGGAGGCAGCAGUGGGGAAUAUUGCACAAUGGGCGCAAGCCUGAUGCAGCCAUGCCGCGUGUAUGAAGAAGGCCUUCGGGUUGUAAAGUACUUUCAGCGGGG